UACGGGGGGGGCAAACGUUGCUCGGAAUUAUUGGGCGUAAAGCGCACGUAGGCGGCAUUGCAAGUCGGAUGUGAAAUCCCUCGGCUUAACCAAGGAAGUGCAUCCGAAACUGCAGUGCUUGAGUACUUAAGAGGAUCGCGGAAUUCCCGGUGUAGAGGUGAAAUUCGUAGAUAUCGGGAGGAACACCAGUGGCGAAGGCGGCGAUCUGGGAAGAUACUGACGCUGAGGUGCGAAAGCGUGGGGAGCAAACAGG
RNAcentral lists this ribosomal RNA (253 nucleotides) under uncultured bacterium. RNAcentral describes it as "partial 16S ribosomal RNA". It matches the Rfam family "Bacterial small subunit ribosomal RNA", at positions 524 to 776 of the family's 1533-position model. The record is from RNAcentral.